UACGGGGGGGGCAAGCGUUGUUCGGAAUUACUGGGCGUAAAGGGUUCGUAGGUGGUCCGCUAAGUCAGACGUGAAAUCCCUCAGCUUAACUGGGGAACUGCGUCUGAAACUGGUGGACUUGAGUGCAGGAGAGGAACGCGGAAUUCCAGGUGUAGCGGUGAAAUGCGUAGAUAUCUGGAGGAACACCGGUGGCGAAGGCGGCGUUCUGGACUGUUACUGACACUGAGGAACGAAAGCCAGGGGAGCAAACGGG
This 253-nucleotide ribosomal RNA is filed under the name uncultured bacterium. RNAcentral describes it as "partial 16S ribosomal RNA". It matches the Rfam family "Bacterial small subunit ribosomal RNA", at positions 524 to 776 of the family's 1533-position model. The record is from RNAcentral.